CCCUUAGAUGUUCUGGGCCGCACGCGCGCUACACUGACAUGUUCAACAAGCCUCCUAGUUCGACAGGAUUUGGGAAAUCUUUGAACGCAGGUCGUGAUAGGGAUAGAUCAUUGCAAUUAUUGAUCUUGAACGAGGAAUUCCUAGUAAACGCGAGUCAUCAGCUCGCAUUGAUUACGUCCCUGCCCUUUGUACACACCGCCCGUCGCACCUACCGAUUGAAUGUUUCGGUGAAGAUUCCGGAUAGGACUUUUUUGAUUUAUUUCAAUUUUGUCUUAAAAGCUAUCUAAACCUCAACAUUUAGAGGAAGGUGAAGUCGUAACA
Molecule: ribosomal RNA, 321 nt
Filed under: uncultured eukaryote
Lineage: Eukaryota
Description: partial 18S ribosomal RNA
Rfam family: Eukaryotic small subunit ribosomal RNA
Source: RNAcentral